Long non-coding RNA from Patiria miniata (bat star), 381 nucleotides. RefSeq lists it as uncharacterized. The record is from RefSeq and is a predicted model, not a curated record. NCBI's taxonomy places the organism in Eukaryota, Metazoa, Echinodermata, Asteroidea, Valvatida, Asterinidae. The transcript is spliced from 2 exons.
UUGUAAACACAUGCUUGGCAACGACCUUUGUGCACACGUGCACUCAAGCAGCUGUGUGGCCGGCCGUGGACGUACGUCCAAUGCAUAGUUCAUUGUGUACGGUACCAGUUUUGUAUACAAUUUAUACAGGAAGCUAGCGAGUUGGUCGUUCACUUCAUUCAAGUAUAAUCUAGUGACACUGCCAGUUGUUGUUCACCCCAUAGUUCUAUCGAGAUAAAAAAAAAGUUGGAAACCUAAAGCCCAUCUCUGAAGUACAUCAUGGACACAGAAUAUCUGAAGCGGAACUUGGGCAUUUGCUUGACCAGCGCCUUGGCUGAAGUUGCUGAGAAACGGCCCAUGGACCCAAUUGAGUACAUCGCACAGUGGCUCUACAAGUUCAAA